Rattus norvegicus (Norway rat) is the source of this 681-nucleotide non-coding RNA. The record is from RefSeq and is a predicted model, not a curated record. Lineage: Eukaryota; Metazoa; Chordata; Mammalia; Rodentia; Muridae.
CCCCUUCCUGCCAAAGCACCAUACGUGUAUGUCCACCUUGUUCUGCACCUUUCCACCAACCCUGGAUCAGUUUGGAUGACCCUGUGUUUAGAUUUGACUUCAUUCUGAGAACCUUUCAAAACGGGAGUAUAGCAUUUGUUUACGAGCAGGUAAUGACAGCUAUUAGAGAUACACUCAGGUAAUUUAGAAGAGCUGAGUCACACUACAAAGAGUUUGGGAUUAUCAUUUUCCCACUGGUCAACCAGUUGGAGGAAGCUUCUCUGAUGAAGGCUGAGUGGGGCAAUGAUCUAUGAAAACUCAGGGUGCUCUUAAUCAGGCUGUGCGGAAACAACAUCCUUUGGUAUUUACCCAAAGAAGAUCAACAGCUUCCUCCGCACCGAGUCUGCACAGGAAUGCAGCAGACAAUGCCUUCAUGUUGUCUAGCCUUGAACUCUGAGUUUCAAGAUGACAUGCGGAGCAUUUUUCAAGAUUAUCCUCUAGGCUUAUGAAUCAAGAUUGGCCUUGGAGUUGAUUCUGAAAGACAUCAAAGAAAGGAAACCUCAACUGAAGAUUCGAAACUAGGUCUACCCAACGCUAGAGACUGUUAGGAGAGCAAUGCAUAGGAUGCAUGACCGAAAUCACCUGCUAAGUGGCAUUUACUGCUCACUAAUAAACCAAAAGACCAUUUGUUACUUAUUGUCA